Molecule: long non-coding RNA, 37590 nt
Filed under: Malus domestica (apple)
Lineage: Eukaryota; Viridiplantae; Streptophyta; Magnoliopsida; Rosales; Rosaceae
Description: long non-coding RNA (MDOM_LNC001255)
Source: RNAcentral
CCUUGAGCACCAUGGGGAGAACGGAGGCGCUGGCUAGCUGCAUGGCGAAGAGGCUGGCUUCUUCGUCGGAGACUUGGGUUGGAGUCAUCUGAGUCUCUCUGGUUGAAUCCAUUUUAUUGAUUUUGGUAUUGGGUUGGUCGGUUGAGAGAGACAGAGAGUAGCGAGGGGGGAGGAGAAGGCUGUGCUAAGUGGCAAUAUAUAUUGAUUUCUUUGCUCACUCACCACCAUUGAUGUGGUAGUACCAAGGCGUUCACCACCCAUGCAGGCCCCGACAUGUAAGGCCGGCCUUGAGGGUAGCCGAAGUAGGUGCCUGCCUAAGGCUUUCACUUUGCAGGGGCCCCAGAUUUUAAAAAAUAUAUAUAAAAAUAAAUUUUACAAUUAAAAUUCAAUAAAAAUAUCAAAAAAUAAUAUCAUAGGCUAUUGAAAAAGAAUUGGUUGAAAAUCAGAUUAUGUAAACUUAAUUAGUAUGACAUAUUUUGAGGAAAAUUCCUUAUGAGGAUUUGUAGGGGACCUCUCUAGCUUUCAAAAGAGACUCAAAAGAGACAUUUUGGGACCAAAUCGAAGUUGAUUUGGUCGGUCAAAAGUCUGAUUUUCUGAUAAGUCUGAAUUUAAGUUUAAAUAGAAACUUUUUAUUUCAAUUUUAUUCUAAGACUUUUUAGGGUUUUAUUUUGUAGUAGUAUAAAUAAGACUUUUUAGCCAUUAGAGUUAGAAGGGAAGGAGAGGAGGAAACGCAUGCAUACUUUAGAGAGUUUUUUAAGUAUAUUUUCUAGGUGUUUUCUAUCCUUAUUCUUAAUAAUAUUUUGUUUUAUGAUUGUUCGCAGGUAGUUUCUUUUGCUAAGACGAAGCCACAAGCUUUAGCAUGAAUAUAUGUGAUUUUAUUAAUUAGCUUAUGAAUGAAUGCAUGUUUGCUUUGAAUUAUUAAUAUACCAUGAUUAAACUAUCUAAUUGUCUUAGUGAUUCGCGACCAUUAGGGUUUUUAGACAAAUAAUUUGAUGCAAUUUUUGUUGAAAUAUCACCUUGAAAUUGAGGAGGGCUUCUUGUGAUUACUAAUUGUAAGUUCACUUAAGGCGAACAUCACGUUCUUAAGGGUUGCAUGGUUUUUCAAAGGGUUUUCACAAAGCUUAAUGAGUCUUGCAUGUUUAUAUUUGAUAUACAUCAUAGACGGAUUGCAAGUUAGAUAUACGUUUUCGCUUGAACAUCACGAGGAAAAUAUGCAUUAGGAAAACCUAACAUUCAAAGCAUGUAUGUAGAAAUUCAUAAGUAAUUGGUAAAAUUGCAUAGGAUUGUUAAGGGGACGGCGGAAUCCUAGACUUUUACAAUUUGAUUUUCAAAACGUUUUUCUUUUGCUUUCUUUACUUUGUCAAAUAUUUAAUUAUUUUUAUUUAAAUUCGUUUUUAUUAUUUUAAAUUCCAAAAUCAACCUUUUCAAAACUUUGUUCUAAAUAAUUAGCUAAGAAUUAGUUUAAAUACAAAUUAUUCAUUCAAUUCAUGUGGAAAACGAUAUUGCUUGAGCCGCUAUACUACGACAAUCUUGUACUCUUGCAAUUAUUUUUAAGUGUUUUUAUCCCUACUUGUGUAGGUGGUAAAAAUCCUAUCAAAAAUCAUAAAUUUUCUCUCAGAAAUUCAAGAAACGAAAAUUCUUUGUCUGUUUUUAUAUGUUGUGGAGACCCAAUCUGACUUGUGUGUUCUUCCAGGUCGAUCUCGGCCGAGGGUUUUAGACCUCUUUAUUUUUCCAUAUUUUCGGAUUAUUCCCUCAUAAUUAGGGAAUUAAAUUGUUCCUAUUAUUCGGUAAAAUCUAAAACGAUUUGCAGCUUUGAUUUGGCCUUUGCAUGUUUGUGGUAUUUGAAAUUAUGGUUUUUUUUGGGGAUUGGAUUUUGGGAUUUAAGUUGAAUUCGUAUGGGUAUUUUUUCAGAAAUUUUUGUUGUUUCCGUGUUGGAAUUAAAAGAACUAUUCAUGUUGGAUUUUUACAUAAGUGUGUCUCAGCUGUUGUUUUCGUUUUGUUGUGUGAUUUUUAUGUGGUGUUUAUAUGUGCAGGCGCUUGUGUUAGUAUUUUGUGUUUUUAUUUUUGUCCCAGCUGCUGAACUUCAUUUUCAAUUUCGUUUAAUUUAUGGAUUAUCAGAUGUUGUGGUUUGGCAUGCAUUGUAAUAUGAUUUGAACGAGUCUAAUUAAUUUUAAUUUUUCAUGAUUCCGGUAGCAAAUUGCAUCGCUGCGGUUUUCUGGGUCUCUUGGACCGUAGUCAGAGAGGAAAAGAACUAGAAAUAGCAAAAGAAAUCAAGGGAUACAAGAAGAUCAUACUUCUGACAUUGCAAAUGGAAUAGAAAUGUUUAACGAAAAUGUUUCUGGUCAUUCGUUUCUUCUCAGCUAUCAAUUUGUUGCUUGGAGUUUACGUUUUUUUUGCACACAAUGCCAAAAAGAAUUAGGAAUAACAAAAACAAUUAGAUCAUAUAAGAUUAUAUUUGUGUCGUUCGCCGCAGCGGAACGCGGGUGUUUUUGCUAGUGUUAUACUCAAAGUCAAUGGGUUAUUUUUUUAUGAUUUUACUGGCUUUUAAUUUUGUUUCUUAUUGUGUUCUAGAAGCUGAACAAAUAUAAUGACAACAUGAAUAACGGGAAAGCCUAUAACAUAAUACCAGUUUGAAUGAACAUCAUGGAUAAUAAUUUGAUAGGUACGUCAUGAAAAUAAUAUGAAUGUCGUUUUAUUAUUCCCUUCUUGCCAUUUUUUCCGUUUUAGGAGAGUUCUUGUGUAUGAGCGGUUGUAUGUCGAAAUCAAUUGACGGGUAAGUUCGGUUGAUAAGAAGAUCCAUGAGGUUUUGAUUUUGUGUUUGUGGCAAUAUAGACAUGUAAUUUGUCCGUCGUAGUUGUCACUUGUAUUAUAGGAAUAUAAUAUUUAAUUGUAAUUAGUGUAAGAUUCCUAUUUCAAUAGGGUGUAACCUUGUAUAUAUUUUGUAAUAUUUUUCACAUAACAGUACAAAGAGUCAUGAUUCUACAUGUUAUCAAAGCAACAAAAUCACUUUCUUAUUAUUAUUUUUCUAACUUAUGAAAACCUACUUAUGUGUAAUGUCCACGUACGGAUACACGAUCACCAUAUAAAAAACCAAAGCAAUAUAAAUGCAGAUGGCAGCAUACCAAGGGCAAAUUAUACUCAAUUCUUCUUAAGAAAUUCAAUGGCAUAGGUGUUGAAGGCAGAGCACACGACUCGAAAGCCUUGGAAUCCAGAUCCCUUAGCCAAGGCCUCGAACUCCUUCUCCGUCCUCUCUUUUCCGCCGGGGUUGUGAGCUAACAUGAUCUCGUCGAUAUGGACAACUCCCUGGUGGCAAGGCUGCUGUCCGGAGCUACUGGAAGAAUGCACUCAGCAACAAUUACCUUCCCAUUGUCAGGGAGCGCAGCAUAGCAGUUCUUCAAAAAUUUCAAGCAAUGCUCGUCACUCCAGUCGUGGCAUAUCCACUGUAAGAUUGCAUACAGGAUUUGAUAUUAGUUCCAAUUAUAUUGAGCAACUAAGCUCCUAUGAGAAAUUAAUAUUAGCACUACAAAAUAAUCAUCGGCUCUUUUUUGAUAAAUAAUAACUCACCUUCAUGAAAAUUGCAUCUCCCUUUGGAACACUUACAAACAUGUCUCCUCCAACAUGCUCCACACCUAUAUUCAACAUCCACUGACCUCAUAUUCGUUAGGAAAAAUGAUAAAUAGUACAAAUAUUAUUUUUAUAUACAAUAACAUUAGGGGAAGAGAAAUUGAACUUGAGAGAUCGAAUGUAAAGGUGAACGCUUUUAAGUAAUUGAACUACAAACAUUAUCAGAAAUGAAGAACAUACCAGGAUAUUGAGGAGCAUCUUCGAUGACAUGAGGCAAGUCGAAAUUAAUGCCCUUAAUCGAAGGGUAUUUAGAGACGAUCAUGUUAAGGAUAGCGCCAGUGCCACCACCAACAUCAACGAUGCAUGUGAGGCCCUCAAAGCCAUUGUAGUUUCUUCAAGAAGUUUCUUCAUGAGAGAGAGAUCGAAUGUAGUUCUCAAGUAGUUCUCAAGAAGUUUCACAUGAGUGAGGUCGAUAAGAUAAACAGCUUGACUUUUAUAUACAUUCAACUAAGCUAACAUGUAGAAUUAGUAUGUAAAGACAUUGCACAAUUAGUAGAAAGAAACUGAAUGUUCUUGAUCACAAAGACAUGGUCGGCAAAAAAGUUAUGUUUCCAUAAGAAACAGAAGCAACAUGUAGUUCACACAAAUUUUUUCCAUUAUAGUUAGCUUUUGAAAAAACUGCUACACCGUUUUACAAAUUCAAUCGUUAAACAUGAUAUUGUAUUCCAAGACAAAGAUAAAGUAUAUGGUUUGUUUACAAAUCAAAGCUAGAAACCCCAAAGCUUUUUGCAUAUUCAUCAUCUCUCUGAUCAUGAAAAAUUAAAAUUAAUAAUAAUCACUCAAAUCAUAUUACAAUAUAUAACAAACUAUGUCAUCUGAUAAUCGAUAAAUUUUAAGAAAAUUUAAAAUGAAAACCAUAAUCUGAAAUGUCUGAAUUUUCUCAAACACUUUCUGAGAAGCCAAACCAAAACAAAAAACAAAAACAAAAACAAAAGGAGAUGAAUGAGAAAUGAGAAACGAGUAAUUACCAUGUCUGGAUUUGGAUGAGGCGGGAAGAGAAGGCCAUGAUCGGUUCACAGUCUUCCUCUUCUUCUUGUAAUUUAUGUUCCUCUUUCAAAUUUCAAAAACAAAAAAUCCACCCAUACUUAAUUCCCAUAAAAAAAAAAUUAAAAAAAAAUAAAAAAACUAGUAUAAAAAUUUCAUGGCACCUAUAAAAAUUCACCGUCACUAGUAUAAAAACCACCCAUACUCCAUUCCAUUUCUUCCCAAAACCCAGGGAUUCGGUGCCAGAACUGCAUCUUCUCAGUUGUUGCAUAUCUUCUUGCUAAUGUGUCAUUGACUUCGCACGCCUAGAAACCAAGCCAUCACAAUGCAAACGCGAGUAUCUCUGAUUAGCAUCGAAGGGGGUUGGCUUGGAAACUAAGAGCUGAGUAUCAUUCAAGGGAUUAUUCUGUAGCGUUGUGCCUACUCCGGAUGAUGCCAAAGUGGCCCCUUGAAGAGGUAAUGAAGGUAGUCAUCUAUCUAGCCUUUGGAAAGGUGCACUAUAUUGCAUGAACAUGAGGAAAUGCGAACAAAUAAGAAUUAUAAAAACUAAAGUGAAUCAAACCCAUGGAUCUUAUUGGGAUUACCUUCAUAAAAGCUAAGCAUUUUGGAAAAAACAUUUUCAAUUAAAAAUAACUUUGAAAAUGUCUUUCUAUUCAAGUAUGUUGGCCCAAAAUUGAAAGUGAUAGAUGCUUUCGAACAGUUUAGUUUGUAACCAUCAUUAACAUUACAAUUUUUUAGAAGUAAUGUAGACGAAUAUAUUUAGUUGCAUCAGGCUCCUUAGUUUCCAAUUGACAUGCCAAUUUAUGAUCCAUUGCUCUUUCUUUUUUAGACAAUAAAUCGAAAACAUUGAUAUAACCAAAUGCAUUCGAUAAUAGAAAACUACGUAAAUUUCCUAAGAGAGUUCUUGAACGGAAGAACUGACAAAGUAUUGAGUUGAUGAUGGCUUUUAUACCUACCCCAAUGAAUAGCUGCUGGAAGAAGUAUCUCAGGAAUAAGCAAUGCCUAUAAUGGAUUGCUCGAAAGCGCAUAUUCUUUGAAUUCCUCACCGCAAGGACAACAGCAAAGAGCACCGAUCUCUGCAUUUCCACCAAUAUAUACAAAAGAGUCAACAUUUGAGUUUAUAUUUUACUUAAAAUAUGAUUUUAGCCCUUCCAACUCAAUUUUCUUCAUAUAAAACCCUACAUAACUUUUUUACUCAAAGAAAACCCAAUGACUAGGAUCCACAUAAGCAAAUUCAUUAAUUUCAAUAUUACUUCACACAUUUUACAUUUUUCACAUGCCUAAAAUACCCCUAUUACAUAUUUGAUGUAGACAAUUAAUUGUAAGGAGAGAGUAAAUGAUUUUGCAACAAGAAAAACAAGACAUUAAUGUUAAAAAUUUAUUGCAUAUUAAUUUUUUUAGAAAGGCUUUGAAUUUUCAUAAACUAUUUGAUUAGUUUUUUUCACGCUACUCUUGAACACUUUUGAAUUUAUCCUUUUUUUAUUAAUAUAUUAGAACAUUGUAUUUCAUUAUCUACAUGCACAUUAAUUUACCUACAACAAUUAUACCAUGAGUGUAAUAUAAUAUCUCUUUUUUACAAUGAUGCAAAAUAAUGUUUAUACCAACAACAAAACGUGCCUAACAUAUGUACUAAUACAUGGAAAAUAAUUUACCUAUAUUAAGAAGAAAUGUAGUUCGAUGCGUAGUAUUAAAAAUACUAUGUUACACCCAUGUUUAUACAACAAUAAAACGUGCCUAACAUAUCUAACAAUACAUGGAAAAUAAUUUAUCUACAAGUUAGAUAAAUGUUAUUUGGUCGGGUGUAUAUAAAUUGUUUUAAUAAUUGGAAAAAUUAAAUAUAACUAGGUGUAGUGAAAUUUUUUUCUAUAAUUAGAACAAAUUAAUUUACCUACCUACUAUUUGAAAUGUUCAUUUCUAAUGAUGCAAAAUGUUCAUUACCUAACUACAAAAUAAUUUCCAAUAAUUUACCCACAACAAUUAUACCAUGGGUGUAAUGUAAUAUCUUUCUUUACAAUGAUACAAAAUAUUGUAUGUAUACCAACAACAAAAUGUGCCUAACAUAAGUACUUGUACAUGGAAAAUAAUUUACCUAUAACAAAAGAAAUGCAGUUUGAUGUAUAAAAUCAACAAUAAAUUUACCUACAAGUUAGAGGAAUGUUAUUUGAUUCAAAAUAUAUAAUAUAGGUGUAGUAUUUUUUUUUAAAUAAUUGGAACACACUAAUUUACCUACCAAUUAAUAUGGGUAAAAUUGCUACAAAAUAUAUCACGAAAAAAAAAACUACUUUUCUAGUUUGACAUGGAUACGGUUAAUGCAAACACUUUUUACAUUUUAUUUCACUUUUUCUACUACUUUUAUUUUGGCAUAAAUUUAGGAAUUUGGAAAACGGACCAUAAAGUAUGAGUGGCAUGAGUGUAAAUAAAUUGUAUUUAUAGGUCAAUAGUGUUCCCAUAUAUUUGCAAAUUUUAAAUUUUGGCUUAAACUGGAUCUUUAAAGAUAGAUGAGUUUUUAUCUAGAAAUAAUAAGUUGUAAGGGCCAAAAUCUAAAGCACCCUAUUUUUUUUUCAUAUUCUGUUUCUUCAUUUUCUUCUAUAUCACUUUCUAUACUCAUAUAUAUACUCAUAGUUUAGUUUAUAUUGGACAGGACCGAUCAUCAUAUGCUCAUAUAUAUGCGUUUGUUUAAUCAAUAAUGCUAUUUAAAGGUACAAAACUAAUCGCAUUUCUGAGACACUCGAAAAUAGCGGUGGACUCUACAAAUACACGCAAAACAUACAUGUGCUAAAGAAUCUAUAACAAUGCGAUUAAUUUUGGGAGUCUAUAUAGUAUUACUUGUUAUUUAUUUAUUGCCUAUCUGAUUAUGGCUUCUCAUGGCAGGUAGGAAUGCUUCUGUAAUUUGGUUGAUUUAAUUUCUUGAUCAUAAUACCAAUUUGAAUGAACAUCAUGGAUAAUAAUUUGACAGCUACGUCAUGAAAAUAAUAUGAAUGUCAUUUUAUCAUUUCCUUUUUGCCAUUUCUCUGAUUUAGGAGAGUUCUUGUGUUGUGUAUAAGCGAUAUGUCGAAAUCUAUUGACGGGUAAGUUCGAGUGAUAAGAAAAUCCAUGAGGUCCGAUUUUGUGUUUGUGGCAAUACAGACAUGUAAUUUGUCCGUUGUACACUAGAUUCUUUCAUUUUUUAGACCCUAUUGCAUGGGUAUGAUUCCAAAUUUAUAACAUACAAGCAUGUUAGAAUAGAAUUAAUUAAUCCAGAAUUUUAUUCAUAGUUGUCACAUGUAUUAUAGGAAUGUAAUAUUUAAUUGUAAUUAGUGUAGGAUCCUAUUUCAAUAGGGACUAAUGUAACCUUGUAUAUUUAUUGUAAUAUUUUUCACACAACAAUACAAAGAGUCAUAAUUCUACAUGUUAUCAAAGCAACAAAAUCACUUUCUUAUUAUUUUUUUGUAACAUAUGAAAACCUACUUAUCGUGUAACAUCCACGUAUGGAUACACGAUCACCAUAUAAAAAACCAAAGCAAUAUAAAUGCAGAUGGCAACAUACCAAAGGUAAAUUAUACUCAAUUCUUCUUAAGAAAUUCAAUGGCAUAGGUGUUGAAAGCAGAGCACACGACUCGAAAGCCUUGGAAUCCAGAUCCCUUAGCCAAGGCCUCGAACUCCUUCUCCGUCCUCUCUUUUCCGCCGGGGUUGUGAGCUAACAUGAUCGCGUCGAUAUGGACAACUCCCUUGGUGGCAAGGCUACUGUCCGGAGCUACCGGAAGAAUGCACUCAGCAACAAUUACCUUCCCAUUGUCUGGGAGCGCAGCAUAGCAGUUCUUCAAAAAUUUCAAGCAAUGCUCGUCACUCCAGUCGUGGCAUAUCCACUGUAAGAUUGCAUAAAGGAUUUGAUAUUAGUUCCAAAUAUAUUGAGCAACUAAGCUCCUAUGAGAAAUUAAUAUUAGCACUACAAAUAAUCAUCGGUUCUUUUUUGAUAAAUAAUAACUCACCUUCAUGAAAAUUGCAUCUCCCUUUGGAACACUUACAAACAUGUCUCCUCCAACAUGCUCCACACCUAUAUUCAACAUCCAUUGACCUCAUAUUCAUUAGGAAAAAUGAUAAAUAGUACAAAUAUUAUUCUUAUAUGCAAUAAUAUUAGGGGAAGAGAAAUUGAACUUGAGAGAUCGAAUGUAAAGGUGAGUGCUUUUAAGUAAUUGAACUACGAACAUUAUUAGAAAUGAAGAACAUACCAGGAUAUUGGGGAGCAUCUUCGAUGACAUGAGGCAAGUCGAAGUUAAUGCCCUUAAUCGAAGGGUAUUUAGAGACGAUCAUGUGAAGGACAGCGCCGGUGCCACCACCAACAUCAACGAUGGAUGUGAGGCCCUCAAAGCCAUUGUAGUUCUCAAGAAGUUUCUUCAUGGUAAUGGUAGAGUGGUCAGCCAUUCCCUUGUUGAAGACCUUGUUGAAUCUGGGGUCAGUGCCAUGGUACUCAAAAGCAGUCAUUCCGUAGGCCUUGUUGAAUGGGAUACCUCCUUCAAGGACUGCAUCUUUCAAGUUGUACCUGCACAAACCCGAAACAAGCAUGCAUGACUCAUUUGUGUUUAAAGCUUAAUCUACAAGGAAAGGGCCGGACCCUUGAAAUUUGAUUCAACAACUACAAAUAAGAAGGCCCCUUUAAAAAUUAUAAUAACUUUAAUCGUUGAAUCAAAUAUCAAUAGUCUGAAUAAGUGGACUUGAUAGACUUGAUGGAAGGGAUCCGGAGAGAAUCAUUUUCCAAUCUACAAUACCAAAGUACAAGCAAUCUUGUAAACUAGGCCAACCGACAUUCCACGUGUUUCAAGGCCCGCAUAACUCACAAUAAUCAGAUAAUUUAUGGGUUUGUUAAAACAACUCUCCCUUCUUUUAUUGAAUUCGGAUCCUCUUUGUAGGAAUAUUAAGAAUCUUAAAGAUUCGUAAAUCGUAUCAAUUCAUUGUACAUCGUACGAUCAUAAAACUAUUUGCAUUUUUUUAUUUAAAAUUAAACACAAACAACACUUGAUGAAAUCUGACCGUACGAUCACAGAUCUUCAGGAUUCUCACAAAGAAGAUUCAGAGAGAAUUUGUUGGUCUUUUAUUGACAUGGAUUGCGUCAAUCAGUUAGUAAAAUAGUAUCCUUUUAUAUUUGAGUACAAAUUAUCAUUUUUAUAGUUUUGAUAAAAAUGAGGGAGGAAGUUAAUUUAAAUUUCACCUCUAGCUAAUUGACGGAACUUACACUCCAUAUAGAAGAAUAAAAUAGUUAAAACAUACAGUUGUCCUAAGGAAAAAGAUUGAUAAGAAAUAAACGUGUAACAUCGAAACACUUUGGUGUGGUUGUUGAAGUGGUUUUACCAACUUUCCACUCCUAAUUUGAUUUAAGUGGAAAUCAUAAAACAGGUGACCAGUCAUCAUAUAGCGUAAUGCUAGAAAAAUAAAAUUUAAAAAUAAAAUUUACAAAUUAAUUGAUAUGAAAAUUAAUUGUUGAAUUAUUACUUAAAAGAUGAGACAUUAAUAAACAUGAUUUUUUUUUAUUAAUGACAUAUAAUUUAGUUUAAAAUUUUUAUUUAAAAUUUGGUUUCUUUAAAAGUCUGACAAGAAGUCAAUUUGGAGUCUUGUCCGUCCCCAACCGCCUAAUGGGCCAAAAGUAAUAUGAACAACGAAGAAAACAUUAGGAAAAAUAAAUUUUAACGAAAAAGUUUUGAUAUUUUUUAUUUUAAUAAAAAAAUUAUAAUUUUACAUUAAAAAAUCAUUUAUAAUACUAUUCAUUUUAUUUUUUAUUUUAUCUUAAAAUUUUCAAACCAAUUUUUAUUAGUUUUUCUUAGGAAAAAAUAGAGAACAAUCACAUAUUAAAGCCAUAACUCACAGUUCGUACGUAACAUUUUAUGAAUAUUGUAUUAUUAUCAACCUAUUUGAACCCCAUUAAUUAAUGUUUGUUAACGAUCAAAUUAAGAUGAUAAAUAAAGAAGAAGAAUGGUAAUUACCAGCUCUCCAUAAGGACCUUGUCCUGAUUCAUGAGGCAGAGAGAACCAAUGGAAGCACCAUCCUCGCUCUUUGUCAAGAACUUGCAGACGGGGCCGAGGCCGUACAGCCGCUCGACUUUGCCGUCGGGAAGUGUGCGGAGGGAGUAAGUGAGGAUAGAGUAGCUGGCCAGGACGCGCAGCAUGCGGUCCAGCAUGACGGAGGCGUCAGGGUUCUUGGUCGGCAGCUGCGAAGAUAAGUCAGCCGGAGAAACAAAAGCGCCAGGCCCGGCUUUUGCCAUGAUCUCGAGGAGGUCGAGCUCGAUGGCUGCCUUGAGCACCAUGGGGAGGACGGAGGCGCUGGCUAGCUGCAUGGCGAAGAGGUUGGCUUCUUCAUCGGAGACUUGGGUUGGAGUCAUCUGAGUCUCUGGGGUCGAACCCAUUUUUUGGAUUUGGUGUUGUUGAUGGUGUUGGUGUUGGUGGGGAGAGAGAGAGAGAGAGAGAGAGAGAGAGAGAGAGAGAGAGGAGGAGGAGGAGGAGGAUGAGGAGGACUGAGGGUGGAAGAGAUGGUGUGUGCUAAGUGGUAAUAUAUAUGUAUUUCCUUGCUCACCCACCGCCAUUGCUGUAAAAGCAAGGUGUCCACCACCCAUGCAGGACCCCACAUGCGUCCCACACGUCUUUACCUUUUAGAAAGCUAAUUAAAAUAAUUUCAAUUCUUUAUCUGCUUUUGUUUUAUUUCUUUUUUAGGAGGGUGUGUAGUCGGAAUUCACACUCAAUAUGAAGGAUUUGUACAAGCUUUGUUAGAUUAGUUGUUUAAUUAAGAGUAUAUAUUUAAUUUGUGUUUGAUUUUUCUCCCCUUAAUUUUGUUGUUUAAAAAGAAAUAUGAAUAAUUUACAAAUCCAAACUUUCCUAUUAAAAAGUGCAAUUUUUCUUCGAAUGUUAUACUCAAGGUCAAUGGGUUUUGAUUAAAGGGAAAGCCUGUCACAUCAUUCCACUAUAUAGUAUACAUCACCAGUUCGAGCAUAAGCAUGCCAAAAUAAAGAUGACAAAAAAGGUAAACCCUUCAAUCCAACGGGGAAAAAACUAAGCAAGUUUUUCUACAGAAAUACAGCAUGACAUGACAAGGGAUAAUUGGAGAAAAGAAUAGUGAAUUGUCCCUCCGAAGUCCUUCUAGCUGGUGAUAGAGCAUAAAUUUACAAUAAGGUCGUUAUUAUUUAUUUAUUUAUUUUUAAUAGUGUGUGAAAUGAUUUUAAUCUUCAAUUUUCUCUUUAGUUGAUUCGGCAAAUUUUAUAAGAUGAUAAUAAGGACAAUAAUGUUUUAUAGCAUUGAAUGUUGAGCGAUCAAGCAUUAAUAUAUUUCAUAUGAGUCUCCUCAUAGUAUUCUUGAUCAAGCAUCAUAUUUUCUUCAAGCUCGAAAGGUAACAUAUACUGAUUGAGAGACUUUUAGCCUAAAUGAUCCAUAAGAUUGGUAUAACUCCUCACUCUAGUUCCUGACAUUGAAAAUUGAUAUAAUUGGUCUUUGAGUUUGUCCCCUGUAAAUCAUUUUUUGUCAUUCUGUGAAAAAAUAUGUCAAUAUCAUCGUUAAAUGGAGGGGUUAGUUUGACAAAUAUCAUCAUUAAAAAGAUUGUUGUGUGGUCGUCCACAUGACAAUUUAACGAGGAUAGUGGCAAAUUUUUCACGGAAUAAAAUAAUUUACAAUGAACAAACUCAAAAACCAUUUCUAUUGAUUUUCAUUAUUAAGGAUCAAAUUGAGGAUUAUGCUAAUUGCCUAAAAGCCAUGAUUUAGAUGGUAUCAUUGUCAUGGUUUGUGUCAUCGUGACUCAUCCAUGAUGUAUGAAAGGGAUAGGUAUUUCUAUUGGAAAUUUACAAAUAAGAACAAAAAUAAAAAACAAGAGUGUGACAAUUUAAUAAGGAGUUGGCCCGGUAUCUUAUAAUAUGCUAUUACCUAAGCUGCGGUGCAAGAUCAAAUCAGUUGGUGAGUGGAACCUAUCAAUAUUCAUUUCCAAACGUUAUAAUACUUGACCUAAUUUAUAUAAAUAUGGUGGUGUUACUUAGAAGACAACAAUUAUGCCUUCUCCAUACUGAUUCAGGUAUUGUAUUAGGGGUGUGCUAUCCACACACCCCAAAUUACUUCCCACACACCUCUUGUUAAUUUCUGUCCGUUGAUCUUCUUCAAUUCAUCUGAUCCGACUGCUGAAAAUUAAAAGGGUGUGUGAGAAGUAAAAUGGGGUGUGUGGAUAUCACACCCCUUGUAUUAUUGAUUUCUCCAACUCCACUUAAGCUGAAAGGUGUAAAACGUUUAGUUCUCAUGCUUCAUUGGGACAUCAUUCGCACAUGAAUUGUGUGAGUAAGUUGAUUAUCGUCAUUCUUGUUUUGUGAGUUUUACAUGCAUGAACAGUCUGAAUUAGUUUAAAUCUAUAUUAUACGACGUUAAAUUAAAUAAUCUAUGAAAAUUCAGAAAAAGAAAACAGUUUAAACAUAGACAUCGAAUCUUACUUCAUAUUAAUGUUAAUAGUUGCUCAAAUUAAUUAAUUAACAAACUCCUGUGUUGAAAAUUGAAACAAAUGAAAACUCCAUUUGGUAUUAAUUAGGUUUACAAAUGGUAUUAUAUAAUUGGUCGCGGUUGGACAAAUCAAAGGGGAUCACAUCUCACCUAAUCUUUGAACAUGUAGAUGUCGGAUCAGACGCAGCUAUUGGUGAAAAAAUCAAAGUGCUACUUCCACAUCUUAAUUGGACCCCAUCUUUUUCUGGAACAAACUUAACAUUUCCAGAGACCCAGACCCUGAGAUGUAAAAAGAAAAAGUUCGACAAAAUUCAGAACCAGAAGAGGUCCAAACUCCUAAGGUGUCACCUCUUUAACAAAACAUCCUCACCAACCCUGCCAACAAAAUCCUCAUUUCAGGAUUUGUAAAUCAUGUAUAUUUAUCGUAUAUCGUACAAUCAAUUUUUGUUAAAUACUGUUUGUGUUCAAUUUUAAAUAAAAAAACUUAAAACAAUUAAUGAUCUCACGAUAUACGAUAAACGAAUAUAAUUUAUAGAUCUCCAAAAUUCUCACAAAAAGAAUCUGAAAAGAAUCCAAAUUCCCAACCCUGCAAAAGCAUUAAGAAUUAUAUAAAAAAAGAUUAUUAGCUUAACGUGUUUGAUUAUAAUAUUUGGUCAACAAUCAAAUGGAAUAAAGGAGGAUACGUUAAGAUAUAAGGGUAUUAUAUAUAUUAAUUGUAAUGUUCCACCAAAUACAUUAUAAUUGGUAUAAGAUAUAUAAGUAGGAGUCAACACUAGAAAUCGAAAACCGAAGCCAAAAUACGAAUUAAGCUGGACCGCAUUGAACAGUUAAGUUUUUGCAAUUUUGAUACGAUUUUGAUUUGCAACCCAACCACAUCACAAAUGAAAAAUGACUGAUUCCUAACAAUCAUACGUUUGUACGUUUCCUUUCUUUGCUGCUACUUUAUCUAAUCUCUUUUGUGGUGAAUUAUUUCAAAGGGUCAAAUCUUUGAUGCAUAUAGCUCUACAAUUGAUGAAAGUUAAUUGUAGGUGGAGAGCAACAAAUGAUGGGAUAAAUUUGUUUAACUUUAAGCACAAAAUAUAUCUACAAAAGUAUAAAUCGGAAUCAUGGUGAUCCGACGUAUGGUUGCGAGCUUCAAGCUCCCAAAAGUUGAUAUAAUAAAACAUUUUCUCAUGACUUGAUUGAUUUGUUGUUAUCUCUUGCAUGGUUACUUUUAGCUUUUUAUUUUGUUAUUUGUUUAUACGUUUUUUGUAUUAUUAUGCUCUCAUGUUUCUUUAAAUCUUAAUUUAUAUAAGUGCAAGUGAAUGUAAUGUAAUUCUUCUCCCUAGUGCUUUGAAACCGAAACCAUUUGAAACCAAAUCGAGUUCAAAUGGUUUGGUUCCAUUUCUUACAAACUUCAAAACCAAACUGAAUCGCAAAAAAAAUUGAUUUUAGUUUCACCCAAAACCGCACCGAACCAAACUGUGCACACCCAUAUAUAUAAAUUUUGUUCUCUUGAAAUGAACAAUGGAGAUUGUGUCAAAGGGUUUAAAAUUUAAGUAGUUAAUAGCAUUUGUUCUUGCAUACGAUAUUAUGCGCUGGAAUCCUUCGUCCACUAUUAUUGUUUGUAAAUUGGUGGCCAAAGUGUUGGAAUUUAUGGUUAGCUACAUGCACAGAUUACAACCUAAUACCAAGGAUGAAAGAGCACACAAAUCUGAUGAAGCCAUUAAUGAAUGAUCGAGGAAGAGUCUUCUACUAAAUGGGGACCUUAUGUUCUCACUAGAAUAGGGCUAGUUACUAAAAGAACGUGUUCCUCUUGAGCAGGGACUAAACCAUUUUUUAGACGUAUAACCACAACCGUUUCCACCUAUCACAUAAACUGCUUGGCAAAACUGCCCGCCCAUUUACACUCGGGAAAUUUGGAAAAGUAACCAUAUUUUAAACCUCAUAUAGAAUUAUAGCCACCAUUUUAAUUUUAUGAUAAUUCUAACCAAAACUUAAUGUAAAAGUACUAAUAUACCCUUAAUGAAAAUUUGGAAAAGUAACCAUAUUUUAGACCACAUAUAGAAUUAUAGCCAUCAUUUAGUUUUAUGAUAAUUCUAACCAAAACUUGAUGUUGAGAUCUUGAAACAUAAAAGAGAUAGCCUCCUCAAUACUACCCAAUACCCCUAUUCUCGAACCCUCCAUUUCCUACACUCUUUUAUAUAUAUAUGGAUAUUCAAAUGUAAUCAGAGAAAGUGAGAUUUGAAGAUAACCUAGUAAACAUAAAAAUUAAUUAGGAAUUGAAUCUCCGAAGCAAAAUUUGAAUCUAAAAAUAGAGGAGCAAAAAGCCUUUUAAGCUAAAAUCUGUGUGAGGUUUUUCUGCUAAACUGGUGAUUGAAAAUAUAAAAGCCGAUAAUGUGAUAAAUCCCGAAUAAUAUAAAAGCCAAUAAUGUGAUAAAUCCCGAAUAAUAUAAAGCCCAAUAAUGUAAUAAAUCCCAAAGAAAAACAUUCACAUCAUGUGUUGGAAUGGAGUCUAAUUGGAUUCUUGCAAGUUUGGCGAUUGUGGCCUGUCCCACCACAGCGACUGCACUUCUUCACUAUCCUUUCCUCUCCCUGAGAUGGGAUUCUGUUUGUCUUGCGUCUUCCAGAUACAACUUGUCUGAUUGGAGGUAACACAACUCUAUUAUGCACCUCUUCUGGCACACUCCAUUCACUCUUGUUUCCAACCGGCCAAAUGGGCUCCGCAUACGCUAGCACAAUUGCAUUGGCUGUGUAGAAUUUGGAGCACAUAGUGUACACUAAUGUGUUGCGAAUUCGACAUGCAGCAGUUGCAUGGACACAUGGAAGCUGGUCGAGAUCAAACCUUCUACACGUGCAUGACUUGGCAUUUAGAUCAACUAUAUGAUAUAAGUCUGCCUCAUGUACUUGCAAUGCAUAAUGAUUAAUGGAAGAUACCUGCAUAGUUGACAAGUAACAACCAACAACAAGAGACCAAUUAAUCAUAAUUAUCAUAUUCUUUUAUCAACCUGUUUAUUUGUUUGAAACAUUUUAACUAUGUUUUUUGUUAACAAAAUAUGCACUAACCACAUAGAUUUGGCCGUCAUCCAACUCACUUGACCAUGAAAUAUUACAUGCUUCAAGGCCACAACUGAUUAAAUAAAAAGUUAAGAAGAGUGAAAAUAGCUUUUUGUUGGUUCCUUUUUUUUUUUUCCCUUCAUAUGUUCUUGGUAUGGAUUCUAUGUAAAUUUAGGUGUCCAGUGUGCAUUAGGAAUGUGAGAGUGCAUAAAAAUGUAAACAAAUCAUACAUACCGACAUACGCAAGCCUCUAUUUUGAUUCUUGUGCACUUUUUCCUCUGCCCACUUUGUCAAGGUCGAAUUCCAUGAACUUGCUGUGUUCCGACGUUCGUUGAACCACUCUUGUAGUAUACCUCUAAGGUGAUCCGCUAGAGCAAUGAUAGGCAACUUUCGAGCAUCCUUCAGUUUUGCAUUCAUGGAUUCGGCAAUGUUGGUUGUCAUCAUGUUGUAUCGUUUUCCACUGAAAUGUGCCCGAGCCCAUCUAUGAUACCCAAUUUCUUGAAGAUAUUUUCCUACUUUUCCAUCUUUGAUUGCCCAAAUAUCAGUCAUAACACUAUUAAACUCUGACACAAGGUAUGCUUUUGCCGCAGUGUAAUAUAACUUAAACAUCGUUUCAUCAUCACCAAAUUUAGUCCUCAUGUUGCCAGCUACAUGAUACAUACAAGCUCCAUGAUAUGCCUCUGGAAACACAGUUUGUACAGCUUUACCAAUACUUCCAUGUCGAUCAGAUACAAACACCAAGUCUGCUACCUCUCCAAUGGCACUUCUCAAUUUUGUAAGAAACCAUGUCCAUGAAGCGUCAUUUUCUGAGUCACCCACACCAAAUGCUAAAGGAUAUAUUUGAUUUUGUCCAUCAUGGCAUACAGCAACAAAUAAGGUGCCAAGAUAUUUACCCUUUAGAAAAGUCCCAUCAACUGCUACCACAGGCCUCAUAGAACCACGAAAUCCCCUUAUAGAGGCUCCCAUUGCCAUGAAAAAGUAUAAAAAGUGAUUAUUGUCAUCCGUUUCUAUAUGUGUUAUUGUCCCAGGGUUUUUACUUUCUAACAUGGCACAAUAGGCAGGAAGUGCGGCAAAAGAUUCCUCUGGCGACCCUCGGAUCAUGUCAAAUGCGUGCUCUCUUGCUCUCCAAGCUUUCUCGUAGCUCAUAUUAACCCCAACUUGUGCUCGCAUAUCCUCAAUGAAGUCUUUAGGUCUAUAUACACGUGAUGCCCCCUCAUACUUUGACUUUAUAAAUUGGCCAACAACAGAACUACUUGCUUGCCGAUGAUCACGCUGAACAACAUCUAAUGAACAAGAAUGAUUAGUUUCAAAUUUUCUUACUUCAAAAAAUUCUGACACUUGUAACUUGGUUGCACGAAGUCGCCACUUGCAAUUAUCAUCCACACAUCUAAUUUCCAAACGAUCCUUAGUUGAUCUUUCCACUUUAAAUUCAUAAUUCUUCCUCAUUGCAAUCAUAGCUAAUUGUUUUUGCAACUCUUUCUUACUCGAGUACAAUUGUCCGACCAUAAUAUCUCCAUCUAUAUUCAAAUCUGCAAUAUUAUCAUAGUCUUGUAUGCUCUUACGCUUGUUACGACGAGACGACGAUAGAUUGAAAUUGACAUCGUUCGACUGCACAUUAUCGAAAUGGGUACUGUCAUGAUAGUCAUCAGUAAACUCAAAACUCACAUCUAUUGAAGCCUCACUAAUCUGGGCAUUGUCUUGAAGAACUUGACUUGGUUGUUCAUCACUCAAAAUGUCAUCAUUCUCUUGAAUUCCCACUGUUGGUGAUGGGGAACUGCAUGCAAUUGGGUGUUCAUCUUCAGGUUCAUUUAGAGGAUAUGUUGUAACAUAUAACGGAAUCUUGUUCGGUUUUGCAGAAAGACUUUCACAUACCCAACUAGUCACAUCGUCGUUGUCUACAAUCUCCAUCAUAGUUUGUAUCCCUAAGUUGCUAAUGCAUUGAUAAUGUACUGAGAUUCUAAAUUCACUUGGACUAACAUGAAGACGUUUAUAUAUACCUUGUAUAAGAUCUAGAUGAGUAACUUCGGUUGACACUACCAUUGCUUUCGCUUGACCAUCUGUGUAUUGGCUAUCAACCCUCCUCCAUCCGUAAUGGACCACGGUAACAAAUUGAGUCAUUUUCUGAAGGAAAAAAAAUUAAUUAGCGCAUCUAACUAACCUGCAAAUAUAUUAAAAUUAGGAAAAAGUUAUAGAAAAAAUUAAUUAGCACAUAUAACUAACCUGGGUUUUGGGUUUAGGGUUUCAGUGGUGAAAAAUGGACACCUCCUUGCAGCAAACCCCUAAACCUUAAAAUUCAACGCCAAGCAUAAGGUCCUGAUUUUCCAAUGCUUUACCAAAGCUUUACCGAUGCUUCCAUGGACACCUCUCUUCUUGUGAUUUUCUUCCUGUUUUUCUUUCGCUGUUUCUUUUUUUUUUGUCAAAAUUCAACGCCAAGCAAACCCCAAAUUGUUCUCUCGCUGUUCUUUUUUUUUUUUGUCAAAAUCUCUUCCUGUUUUUCAUUCUUAGUUGACUGAUGUUGAUUAGGUUUUGUUUUUGUUGUGAGAAACCCUAAUAUUAAGGGUAUAUUAGUACUUUUACAUCAAGUUUUGGUUAGAAUUAUCAUAAAAUUAAAACGGUGGCUAUAAUUCUAUAUGAGGUCUAAAAUAUGGUUACUUUUCCAAAUUUCCCUUUACACUCCGACAUGGGAUAUCCUUUCACCAACAUGUUUAACCUUAUUGUCCUACUUUAAAGGAAAGAAGACUUAUUCAAAUAUUAACUCUAACGGAUUCCAGUUUCAACUAAACUCAAAACCCUAAUGAGAUAAGUUUAGAGUCCAAUAGGGUUCCAACACAAAGAUACUAACAAAACAAAAUUACAAGGAUGUCCAUGCCCUUAACAUGUUUAUCGGAAAUGGAUAUGCAAGGUUAUAGUAUUGUUCUCUUUCGUGAUUUGGAUUGUGUUUACUUACAUAAAGAAUCAGGAAUAGAAUUUUGUACCAGAACAAUUAGGUAUCGUUCAAUCACAACUGCUACUAAUUCUAAUAAGUAAUAAACGAUGAAACAAACAAACAAAUCCGCUCACUAAUCCCUAUCUUGUAAACACUUAAACAUUGUGUUAAACAAUUGAUUUUCAAUGAAAUAAUCAUACAAUUUGUAACUCUUGAAUCAUAUCGAUCUUUCGGGUUCCACUUCGGUCCUACACAGUGUUAAAUCCUAUGAGUCUCAAACAGUCUGAACAUACCAGAUCACAAUAAAAAUAAUAGACCAAACCAAUUUAGACCAUUCAAUACUCAUACAUUUAAUGCUCCGCAACAUAAAUUUUUUUUCUUCUUGUUUUCUUUCCUUUUCAAGGCCCGAUUAAUAGCAAGCAUAUGACUUCAUUCCAUAGUAUAUGGAAUCCAUACAACCAGUAUCAGGCCCAAAUAAUUUGGAAUUUGGGCCUCGACCAGUUUGAACAUAAUAAUUCACAAUUUUGGGCUGGCCCAAGCUAUCUAACUGCUACAAACAGGAGGUUCUCUAAAAGUUAUAAUUCUUGUAGCCGUUAUAUCAAAUUUAAACGGUCCAGAUCUUUUGAUCUUUAGACUCAGUUUAUUUGGGUCCGGAGGAGAUCCAGUUCUGUUUAAAGAAUCGGAUCCCCUCUGUACCCAAAUAAAUUGAGCCUCCUAAGCAAAUGAUUUAAGCAGUUGAAAUUUGAUCAAACGGCUACAAAAAGGAUGCACUUUAAGAGUUAUAAUAAGUGUAACAUUUGAAUUAAAUUUUAACGAUGCAGAUCUCUAGAAGGGAUCCGGUUCCCUCGUCUAUAACAAAGUGGCGACAUGUCAAGAGCCAAAAACGCGACUGUUCAUCCGAAAUUCGGAUUCCGAAUCAUCAGACGAAGAGAGAUUAAAAAAAAAAAAAAAACUAAUGAAAAAUGUAUAAUACCAUGAUUGAUUUUUAAUGUAAAAAUGUGAUUUUUUGUUAAAAUGAACGAUACCGUCUUUUUCUUUAAAGUUUUCGUUAAAGUUCCUAACAAAAAUUCAAAAUCCUGGGUAACCAAAAGCGAGCCAGAGAGAAAAUGGAGGGCGAAACCGGAAUCGACGUCAAAGUGAUUAAUCAGCCGUCGUCGACGCCAUCGCGCUUGAAGAAGAAGAAGAGAGUGACAGCCCAGAAAUCGCCCCAGAAGGCUCCGCCCUCUUCUUCCGCGGAGGACGACGACGGGAGUCCAAUCAGGCAAAUUCUCUGUGUCAAAAACAAGGUCGAUGUUAAACACUUCGAGGACGUCGAGGACUGCUUCAUUUUGGAUUUCGACCCCUCGGAGCCGGUGCAGUUGUCCAAGUUGUCAGUGUCGGUUAAUGGUGGUGGUGGUCACGAUGGUUCUCCCGAUAUCGCUGUUGUUGCUGAGAAAGGACAGGUUUUGAUCUUUACCCAUGACCCAUUUAUUUCUUUGUGUUAAUUUUCUUUCUUUUGUUUGGUUUCCGGGAAAAUGCAGGUAAAGAACUGAAUUUGAAAUCAUUAACUCCAUUUUGUUUCUUUGUUCUUGUGUUUGGUUGCUGGGAAUAUGCAGGUGAAGAAAUGGAUUUUAAAUUAGAACCCCAUUGUGGCAUUUUGCCUUUGAACCUUCAGAUGUUUAACCUCAAAAGAUUUGAAAUUUAUAAGAAGUUUCCAACUUUUUGGCUUAUCUGUUCAUAUUCCAAUUUUUGUGAAUUUAUGAGCUAAUUUUGUGAAUAUCUGAUGCCUUGUGUUGGUUUGAAUUGAUGCUGUGUAGGUUGCUUGUAGAGACUAUCCACAUUCAAGGCACCUCUGCCUGAAAUUUCCUUUCGGGACGACACCCCAUGAGAGCUACUGUGAUCUGGUAAUGGAGUUUUACAACUUCAAAUCUUUGCGUCUUGUGACUGUAUCCCUGAUUCCCUAGUUCUGUUGUUUAACUUGGCAUCUGAAAAGUGAAUUCACUGACUGUAUGCAGUGCUACUGCUACGUUUGUGAUUCUGCCGCUCCAUGUGGGUUAUGGAAACCAUCGCAUUGCCAUGCCGCUGCGCACAUUGGUGAUUGGAAGUCCAAAAGGAUGUUGAGGAAGCAGCAAGCCGCGGUGAAGAAGUGAACAAAACUCUCGUUGUUUAGCCGAAUUGCAGUUAAUGGGAUGCGAGAAAUACCAAAAAACUGAACCGUUGUUCCGCUAUUAGGCCGAUUUGCAGUUAUGGGAUGCGAGAAAUACCAGGAGAGUGAACUGUUGUUUUGCUCGUAAGCAGUCAAGUUCAAGUAAUUUUGUUCAUAGGGAAGGUACUUGAAAUGGCGUUUGUUCUGACUCGAAAAAUUGUAGUUACUGAUGAACUUAUGAUGUUGGUAGAGAUGGAAUCAAAUUUGAUCAGUUCAAUUCGAGUUGUUUUCUUGUUAUGGUUUGCAGGUAUAAGUGGGUUUUAUUGCUGGUAACCGGAAUUGCAUAUGCCUCAUGACAUGGAAGAGCAUCUAUCAAGUUGCAAAUGUCUUUUGUUGCUUAUUCGGAGAAUUAAAAUCUUCAUGAACGUGAUGGUUCAUCAAGCCGCUAGUAUCUCAAGAUCCUUUCAAUGAUCUAUGUUGUGUUGAAGGGAUAUCUGUAUGCUCCGAUUGAUUGCGGAAAGUCCUGUGAGACCUUAAUCGGAUGUGUAGUCAUAGGUAGACCUGGCAUUUUGGACCCGACCCGUUAAUAUUAGUAUUUGGGUGAAUGUUUAGCGGGUGAAUCCGUUAAUAACCCGUUAAAUAACUGGUCACUUUGGAUCAACCCGUUAGACCCGUUAGCACCUGUUAGUUGAGAAUGUUUUAGUAAUUUCAAUCAAGUCUUAACAACAAAAAUAAACUUUAUGAAAAAAAAAGAUUUAAUUGUUAACGGGUGAAACGGGUGACCUGUUAGCUUAACUGGUAUGGUUCGGAUGACCCGUUAGCGUAACGAGUUGGGUUCAGAUGAUCCGUUAACUUAACAAGUCGGAUUGAACCCGAUCUAAACCCAAUAAACCCGACCUAUUUACAGGUCUAGUCAUAGGUGGGAGGUGGCGACGCACAACAACCAAUCAUGUCCCGUUGCUUGAAAGAAAAAAAACUCAAAAAAAUGGGUGAUCGAAGGUUAGCGUCUGGUUAAGUUCUAGUAGGGGCUUUGCUUAACCGGACACAUCAGUUGGUAACCAAAAUUUGGCGUGAUAAGUUAGUGUAUUUAGAAUUAUCUCUCUCUUAACAUGAUUGCAACAUAUAAACAUGUAACUUUGGCCGGUCGUCGUUGUAAGCAUGCUAAAUUUCUUGCAUCCGAGUUUGAAUUUCCUUAAUACAGCACACGUGAUUUAGUCAUUGGGCUUAUGUGUGCCAAGAUAUGAAUGUGGGCGAAUUGUACCAAAUACGGCGGGCCCAAUUGUAACAAGAACCCUUUGCCCUCGCGAAUCAUCAUCAAUCAUAUAUCAUCCAUCUCCGUCUCGCUUUCUCUAUACCCACUGCUGCUCCUGCCGAACGGCCAAGACUGUUCCCCUUUAUCCGUUUCAGAAUUCCAGAGCUCCGCCGAGGAACACAAAAGAUGUCACCGGCUCCACUUGUUCAGCAGGACGCCGCCGCCGCCGACGAGGUCUCCUCCGUCGAGCAGCUUCUCAAGAGCUCUAAUCCGGUAAAGCUCUUCCCUUUUCCCUUUUUUGUGGGGAUUAUAUAAUUUGUUUUCAUUUUCCGUUUUUGUUUAUUUACUAAGUUUUGAAUGUUGGACUGGUGUUAUUGGCAGAACAAGGAGGAAGACGAAGUGGUGGUCGAGGACGUGAAGGACGACAAUGACGAGGACGAGGACGAUGAGGACGAUGACGAGGACGACGAUGAUAAGGAAGACGGCGCUCAAGGUUGCUCUUUUUUCCUUCUUGUCUUUUCAAUUUUACGGCAUAUUCGUCAUUUGGUUUCUGCUGUUUAUUUGUUCUCUGUGCUUCCUGAAUGUUCCCUGUUGCCUGGAGUUUUGGAUUUGUUACGAAUAUUAGGAGCACGCAGAGGAUGAAAAGUUCAGAUUUUUAUAAAGGCUAUGGAAAUAUUGAGAGUUUAAAAGUUUUCUUGGCUGAUUUUGAUGUUAGUUUUUGAGAUGUUUUCGACCCAAAACGUAGAUGCAUGAUUUUUUGUUCAUUUGUGCUAAUGUUUCUAGGAUUCAUAUAGCCCACUUAGGCCCCGUUUGGGAUUGAGGUGAUUUAAAAAAAAGCCACUGUGAAAAAAAGCUGAGGGUCAUUUUUGUGUUUGGUAAACUGAAAAAAAAGGGCUUAUUUUGGAAGCUGCUGUGAGAAUAAGCUGAAAAUCAAAGGAAAAGCUGAAGCUGCUAUUUGCUGCUUUGAAAAAAAGCCAGUUUUUUCAAAGCACAUGGAGCUACAGUGCUCCUUUAAUGAAAAGACACACUAUCAUCCUGCUUUUUUUUCCAAAAGCACUUUCACAAAAAAGUUUACCAAACACUCUACUGGCUUUAUUUCACGGCCGCUUAUUCUCACAGCACAGCCGCUUAUUCUCACAGCAGUUUUUUUUCAAAGCACAGCAAUACCAAACCAGCCCUUAGUGGGAUAAGGCUUGGUUGUUGCCGUUGUUGUUGUUUUUGACACGAAGUGUAGUUCAGUUUGUUCUGAACUAUAAAGAUUCAAACUGUUUUCGUUCGUUUAUGCUACGGUUUCUUUGUGAGCCUGAUUUUUUUUGUGUUUGAUUACAAUGAGUUUGUGUUAUUUAUGUUGUCCUUAAAGUGAUCUUGAUUAGACGAUGAUGAACAGGUGGAAGUGGGGCUUCGAAGCAGAGUAGAAGUGAGAAGAAGAGUCGAAAGGCUAUGUUGAAGCUUGGGAUGAAGCCUGUUACCGGCGUUAGCAGGGUUACCAUCAAAAGGACCAAAAACGUAAGUUGAUGUUUGGUUUCCAGUUGGUGCAAUUGGGAUAUUGUUGUAUGAUGCUCGAUAUUCAUUGUUUGUUUGCUAUUUCUUGGUGUUUCAGAUACUAUUUUUCAUCUCGAAACCUGAUGUGUUCAAGAGUCCAAACUCUGACACCUAUGUCCUAUUUGGCGAGGCCAAGAUCGAGGAUUUGAGCUCCCAGCUUCAGACACAGGCUGCUCAGCAGUUCAGGAUGCCAGACAUGAGUUCUGUGACGGGGAAACCAGAGAUUUCGGCAGCAGCUGCUGGAGCUCAGGAUGAAGAGGAGGAAGAGGUUGAUGAAACCGGGGUGGAGCCUAGGGACAUUGAUUUGGUCAUGACACAGGCUGGGGUAUCGAGAAGCAAGGCCGUCAAGGCGCUCAAGACUCACAGCGGGGACAUUGUCAGCGCUAUCAUGGAGCUCACCACAUAAUUGGCCAAUGUCAACAGUUUUUGUCAAGCUCAUUGUUUACUUGAUGAGUGUUUUGAAUCAGUGUCGUGUCGGUCAUUGGUUUUUGUAGCUCAAUCGGACGCCCGUCUAUGUGUAUCUGGAUUGUGCUUCUCUAUUCUUGUGGAGACUCAAAACAUUGGCAGUGAUGGCUUUCAGGUUUUCUGAUGAACUUCACUCCUGAGUCAUGAGUUUUUAAAGUUUCUAAUUCAUCUUUUAAUUAGAGACGAGAUUUGACUACCUAGUACUAAUGAUACCAACAGGAUCCUCUCCGGAUUCUUUUGGUGGGGAUCCUGGAGAUUCGUAAAUCGUAUUUGUUCAUCGUACAUCGUACAAUCAGUUUUUGUUAGGUAUUAUUUGUAUUUAAUUUUAAAUAAAAAUAUUUAAAAUGAUUUCUAACCGCACAAUGUACGAUGAACGAAUAUGAUUCACGGAUUUUCAGGAUCCUCAUAAAAAGGAUCCGGAUUCCUAGUAAUAUUCUUAUUUGUUUGUAAGUGGGAGGAGGUAUUAGGUUUGACGACAAGCUUAAAACUUGUUGAUCAAAUCUCAUAUCUUAUUAAACAGUGUCUGUAGGAUAACAUGGUUUAUGUUGUCAUAUAGUAUUACUCUUAGGUGAUAUUCAUUUUUACUUGUAAAUGAAGAGUUUUAAGUUUGUUUGUCGUAAUAAACUUUUACCAAAAACAAGAAUCAAUAAACAAAAAACAAGUAAACACAACAUGGUGGUCCAAUGGUUUGGACGAAUUCCAGGACCAUAUAUCAAAUGGCAUGUUCUAAGUUCAAUCUUUGUUGUUGAUGAAUCAUAUGAUGGUGUUCAUGAGAGGAUAAAAUUCUCUGUGAGUCUUUCCAACCACCGACAAUAUAAACUGUUGUGAUGAAGCCACUAGCUGAUCCUAUUUUACGAGAAGAAUAAACCAAAACGAGUGGUGAACUGCAGAAUAAAAAAUGAGUGCAUUUUCCAUCGGAAAAAUAUUGCAAGAGAUUUAAUGAUUGGGCUUGGUGGUGCCGCCAAAAACUAGCGGGCCCACUCAGAAACCGAAACCCUUUGCCCUCGCGAGUCAUCGUCUCUCUAUACGCCGCUGCGUCUGCGUUACGAAUUUGCUAAGACAUCAUAUUUUUAUCCGUUUCAGAGCUUCUAGUCUCCGCCGACAAACCCGAAACAUGUCACCGGCUCCACUGGUUGAGCCCGAAGCCGUCGCCGCCGAAGAGGUUGUCUCCGGCGACCAGCUUCUCAAGAACUCUAAUCAGGUAAAGCUCCUCCCUUUGUUUAAAGUACCCAUUUUUUGUUUGGUCUAUAUAUGUUUCGAUUUCCGAGCUGCUACUGUUGUCAGACCAAGGAAGAAGAGGAAGUCGUGGUCGAGGACGUCAAGGACGACGACAAGGACGAGGACGAGGACGAUGAGGACGACGAUGAUGACGACGAUGAUGACAAGGAAGACGGCGGUCAAGGUUUGUCCUUUUUUUUUUUUGCUGUUCUUAUCCUUUCGAUUGCUUGGAGUUUUGGAUUUUCCAUGGAUGUCUUUGCGUUUUUUAAGGGCAUGUUUGAUUGGUAGGAGCAUAUAGAGGGUGAAAAUAUUAGACUUUUGCAAAAGCUAUGGAAAUAAUGAGAGCAUAACAGGUAGCUCGAGUGAUUUUGAUGUUAAUUUUGAAGUGUUUUCGGUAGAACCCAAAAGCCGAAUCGUAGUUCUGUUUGUUGUAAACUAUAAAGAUUCAAACUUUUUCAUUCAUUUAUACAGUAUUUUUUGCUGCUCAAUCCCAAUGAGUAUGUAUUAUAACAGGUGGAAAUGAGUCAUCGAAACAGAGCAGAAGCGAGAAGAAGAGUCGGAAGGCAAUGCUGAAGCUGGGUAUGAAGCCUGUUACUGGUGUUAGCAGGGUUACAAUCAAGAAGACCAAAAACGUAAGUUGCUGUCUGAUUUCCGGUUUGUGAAGUUGAGAUAUGGUUAUGGGACGGUCGAUGUUGAUUGGUUGUUCUUUUUUUGUGUGUUUCAGAUGCUGUUUGUUAUAUCGAAACCCGAUGCCUUCAAGAGUCCAAACUCCGAUACCUAUGUGAUAUUUGGCGAGGCCAAGAUUGAGGAUUUGAGCUCUCAGCUGCAGACACAAGCUGCCCAGCAGUUCAGGAUGCCGGACAUGAGUUCUGUGAUGGGGAAACCAGAGAUUUCUGGAGCAGCUGCCGGACCUCAGGCAGAUGAAGAAGAGGAAGAGGUUGAUGAAACCGGGGUGGAACCUAAGGACAUUGAUUUGGUCAUGACACAGGCCGGGGUGUCAAGGAGCAAAGCUGUCAAGGCUCUCAAGACUCACAGCGGGGACAUUGUCAGCGCCAUCAUGGAGCUCACCACUUAAUUUGUUAUCCUCGUGCUCGUUGUCAGUUGAUGAUGAGUUUUUUUGAGUCUGUCGGUCGUUAGCUAUUGUUGUCCAAACGGACGCUCGUCUAUGUGUGGAUUUAUGGUGCUUUUCUUUUCUUUUGUGGACUCAAAGACAUUGGUAGUGAGGUCUGCUGGUUUGCUGAUGCGCCUUCGCUCCUAUGUCAUGAGUUUUUAAGGUUUCUAUUUCGUCUUUUAAUUCUUCCACAUUAGAGUUGUCUCCUGCAAUUUGCUCGAUCUCGCUUUGCUUUGUCAAUGACAUAGAUCGAACCCUGGGGUUGUUUGGCAGUGAGUCUUAGUGCUCGUUUAGAUGUGCUUUUUAAAUGAUUGAAAACGUUUCUGAUGAAAAUGUUUUUAGAACAAAUCAUUUGUAAAAAUACAAGUAAAUUCUGAAAAUGCACUUAAAUGCUUCUUACAGAAAGCACUUUAAGUGCUUUUGAAAUCAAAAAUCACCAUCUCUAAAAGCGUUAUCAGUCAUUUUAAAAGCACUAUUUUGUGGAGGACGUGGAAUCGAUGCCCUAAAAGGAGCGACAUGUGCAAGAUUAAUUCACCCUAACAACAUGUGCGAAUGAACGUGUAAUGAAAUGCAUGCAUGCAUCCAUGCACCUGCCCACACACUGUCGAAGACUUGAUCGUAAUUACAUAAUUGUAGAACACAUACGUUCCGAAAUAUUCAAAUUAAGUUCACAAACUUUGUACAAAAAUAUCGCAUCCAGAGUCAUUUAGUUUGGAAAUAAGCAAAAGAGGAAAGAGGAAUCAUCCACCACCCAGGAAGGGAUGUUUUCUUUCCAGCAUCAGGUUCCUCACUUCUGCCCCCAAACCUCCUCCUUCAUGACAUGUUCCCAAUCCGAGGAAGAGCUAUCGUACCAACCUGCCGGAAGCAGAUUCCCAGGCCUGUUGAUCUUCUGAUUAUCUGUCGGUGGACCGCCCAAGAACAGAUGGAAUUCCUUAGCAGCCACCAUAUUAUCUUCACUACUGCCAGCUUCAUGACUCUGCAAAAUAGGUUGCUCCUUCAGUUCUGAACCUUCACCCUCCGAUGUCUUGCUAAUAAACGGCCAGGGGUUUCUCAUACCAGCAUACCCAAGCCCACCAGUUUCCGGCAGUUGCUGCCCUUCUGAAUGCAUGUAAGAGUUGUCAAUCCGGGAUUUAAGGAUCUGAAGCCUCGACAUAACAGAAUCCUCACAGUCGUUUCCCUCGUCGGUUGUGCUAGAAUGAGUAGAAUCCUGGAUGUUGAACUCGGGCAUUAAGCUAUAACUCGUGCUAGGUGCAACUGCAGAUAUCUUGGGGUCUGGAAGAUGUUGCCCUUCAGUAUGCAAGUCAGCGUAGUUUUCAAUCCGGGAUUUGAGGAUAUGAAGUCUGGACAGAACAGAAGCCUCGCAAUCGUUUGAUUGGCUGGUAGUGAUUGACAUGGAAGAAUCCUGGAAGUUGAACUCAGGUCCCAAGAAAUCACUUGCGUUGGGUGCAAUUACGUCAAUCUUGGGUUCAAGACACACAUCGGAGCUGGAUGAUUCCUCCAUAUUGGCAGAACUAAUGAAUUUCGAUUUCUCAACCCGGUCUCUUAUGAUAUGAAAUCUGGCCAUAACAGAAGCCUCGUCAUAAUCAUCUGUUAUCCCAACUGUAUCUGAUGCAGGAGAAUCCUGAAUGGAAAUACCAUGUGAUGAUGAGCUACCAUUUACUUCAGAUGGAAUAUUAUCACCCUUGUUUGGUUCAGAAACCUUGGAGCUGGAUUCGCCCCCAUUGGCAGCACCAAUCAAAUUUGAGUUCUCAAUACGGUCCCUUAAGAUACGAAAUCUGGCCAAUACAUCAUCUUCCUGGCUUAAUACAGGUAAAUCCUGGAGACUUGAAAUUGGACAAUCAUGAGCAUCAGGCGUCAAUGGGUUAACUGGGUUUGAAUCAGGGGAAACCUCAGACAUUGAUUGCUUCAUCAUAUCUGCAUUAUAUUCAAAGCCGUCAGAAACACAAUCAUAAAAUAAAGAUAAGAUCAAAGUUUCUUGUUUAUAGGUUAUAAAACUAUGGCAGUAAUGUAAGAGCAUUAACCUUUGGAUUUCUCUGCCUUGCACUUAUCCAUUUCUAUCUUUGUACGAUUAAAACGAGCUUUGUAAUUAAUGGAACAUAAUACAGCUUCAGCCUCGAGCCAUAGGUCCUUGUACAAGAGGGCUUGAGGGUCUGUUUCUUCAGCAUGAAAAUUCUCACUAAGAAUCUUCUUUAUAGCCUACAAAACCAAGGUCCAUGGCAAUAACUAACUAAUUUUUUGUACUUCCUCAUCCCUCAACGGCAAGAAAUAUAACUUGACAUUUUACUUUAUCAAGCUAGGUAUAGGGGUACCUGAGUCAUUUUAUCUUCUUUCGCCAUGUUUUUGUCACUUUUCACAGAAACAGAACCUACAACUUUAUCCUGAAUUUUAGAGGCAGAUGCCAAUGGAGCCCUGUCUGCAUUCACAACCUGAAGAAAUUAUUCAGCCAAGCAAAACAUUAUUAUAGAGUAUGAGGUGGUAAACUCUCCGCUAUUCAUUUGAAAAUGAAGUCCAAAAUAAGAUUCCAAAAACUUAAGCAGCAUACCUUGUUAUGCUCUGUAAACUCUCCGUUACACUGAGAAGUGUUUUGCAGGAACAAUGGCAUUUCCUGUGUCGGUGACAAUUUCUCACCAUCCUUUGAUAUGCAGAUAUGCAGGUUAUUGAUCACAGCUUUUAUGGUCUCAAUAUCAUUUUUCUUCAAUUGAACCAAGCCAUAUGAACAAUUACUAAGCAGCAAUUCUGACAAGUUAUUCAUUGUAUCAACCAGCAUCUGUGCACCCACUUUUGGCAUAGAAUCUUCCCCAUCAGAUUUGGAAAGCUUAGUAGGUGCAUCCUCCACAGACGAACACAAUAUAUUUUCUACAGCAUGAGAAGGCACAUGCACCGAACCAUAUUCCAUAGUGUCACUGACAUUCAGUUUAAAAUCUGGACCACAAGUCAAUGUUGUUUUCUUUAUUUCCGUUGCUAAUCCGUCUUCUCCACCACAACCUUGUUCCAUUGUAUGAGAAUGGCCAAAGAGACCAAAGGAAUUUUCCCCACUCCCUGAUUUAUGGAGGACAUUUCUGUAACUUUGAGGUCCUCUACCAUGGCUUGUUUCUGAGUUAUAAGUGGUCUUCGCGGUAUCAUCUAACUUAUGUUCUCCAAAAGCUGAGUUUUCAACUGAAUAUCUCUUCAAAGGAAGGGUCACACCCUUUUCCAGCCACCCAAGAUCAUGGUAUUCAACGGUGUUCUUGAUAGGCUUUUGGGAGGAAACAUCUUCCGCAGCCUUUAGUGGAAACAUCAGUGGCAUUGGAAAAUGCAAACCAUUGUAGUCCUCUAGUUUCUUUAACUGUUCUGGAACCCCUUCUUCAGAGGAUUCAAAUGGAGAAAACCGACUACCAGGAACUCCUUUCCAGCAAGGCGAGUCCACAGCUGGAUUAUUAGGAUCUACAUUGUCAGAUGAACUCGGAAAACAAUUGACGGUUUCAUUUGUAUUAACUGACACAUUAAAACCACCAGGACUAACAUGAGGAUUUUCAAGUCCAGACUUCGCUUUAAACACAUGAUCCCAUGGACUCUUGUUGAGACUUCUAUUAUUUAACAGCUCUUCAUUUCUUUUUGCAAAGAAGCUAUCAUUUAUUCCAAGAAGACUGUCAAAUUGGCUUGAACUGAAACGACAGUUGCCUUCAGAAACUUGUAGCAGACGAGACUCUUGUACACUAGAGGGAUAAUAAUCAUCACGAUCUGUCUCAGCAGCAUCACUUCUGAAAUUCAACCUUUUGAACAGACCUAUCUCUGGUUCUGAAGAUUUAGUGCCAAUAGCUGGUAUUCUAGUGGCAAAGGCAGAAGAAGACUUUGAAGUGGACGAAAUAUCAUCCAUACUAGCAUCAUGCUGUUGUUGCUCAGAGAACACACUGUACGGUGUUUUACAGUUUGUGGUGUUCGUGAUAAAUUGUGAGGAUGAUGCCUUAGGAUGGGUUUCUGGAACUGCUGAAAAGGAUCCCGUGACAGAUUUUGAAAAGUCAGCAGGGAUGAAUUUGGAAUUUUUCGCCACAAAGGAUUUAUCACCUAAGUGCUCUGCACUUACAGAUCCACCAAGCUUUUCCCAACCCUGAAUAUUGAUGCCAUGUGAUGCUUCUUCACAUGAGGGGUCUGCACAUUAUACAGAUAGUUAGGGGAAAAUAGAGUAGGGUUGCAUAACAAACAGGAAGUGAACCAAAAAAAUGAAAACAAAAGUAGUUGCACUGGAAAAAUUCCAUAGGCGCAUAACUUGGGGAAGACAUACCUUGGUUCAUGUAAUUCUUGUAAAGUGAUGAGCCGGAAACAUCAGUCUUCUUUGAGCAGAAAUUUCCAUUAAAGUCUCCCUGUUUACCCUGCUCCCGCUCCCACUCCCACAAGCCACCCCACUGGGUAGUAUACUUUGGAUCAGAAGGGUUUUGAGUGUAAUCCUUGUGAGAGGAGCUAUCCAAGGGAGCAAAAUGAGUACUAGACAGCCAAUCAUAACUAGGCUGACGAGGAACCACCAUGGGGGAACACUCGGAACUGUUGAGGUUAGAUAAGAGGGAUAAUAAGGUUUGGCCUCAACAAAACUAGUUGCAGCAGCAUCGAAGGAUUGAUCGUACUUAAACGUACUGGGUGAAGUGGUGGUAAUAGUGUUCAAAGGAGGCAAGUUUGUAUUGGAUGGUUCAACAGUCUGCAGGCCUGCAUAUCCAUACGCAUUCGAUGGAGGAAUUGAAUUGAGAUCUGGGGUGGGAUUGGCAAAGAAAUUAGAAGGGGUAGUGGUCGGGUGAGAAGGAAGCCAAUUGUGCAAAGAAGAAUUCAUGGGGGCAACAUAAGGUGGCUCAGUCACAUCAAGUGAGCUUGACAUGGGUUUUGGCACAGGCCGAUCGACAGUAAAAGGUGGCGCUAAAGCCGAUAAACUUGAAGGCGAUGAUGAUGAAUAUGGAUAAGAUCCUCCAAUUCCAUAAGGAACAAAUCCCGCCAUUCUUAGACUUUGGUUCUACACACAAAUUAAAGUAAAUUGAUCAAGACCCGCUAAAAUUAACAUCAACUAAGAAAUACUGAAAUAAAAAGGUCAACCAGAGCUAAAAUUUCCUAAAACAUGAACACUCACGACAAAAAUCAAAACUUUAUGAAGAACCCAUUUGUCAAACACCAUAAAGAUUAUCAAAUAACAACGAAAUUAUUAUGAUCUUUGAGAAUCGUGCGAAAAAAAUGAAAGAAUUGGUGAUGCUGCUUACAAUAUGAUGACGAUCAGAGCAUCCGUUUUCAGCAAUCGCCCAAUUAACUGGGUAAAACAAGGAGGAAAUAAAAGCACAAAAGCUGUAAAAUUUACAAAACAGUAGUAUUCCCUUGAAUAUGUAUAUAUAUAGUUCUCUUGCUUAACUAUAUCCUACAGCUACAUCAAUAAGAAAACCCAGAUUACAGAAUAUGGCAAGAACAGCAAAAUCAUAAACCAAUCUGGAAAUUAUUCAAGAAAUCUGAGAUUUUGAAUCAAUUGGGGAGAAAUUCAUACCAGAGGAGUGACGAGUGAGGGAGGAGAGAGAGACAGAGAGAGAGGCAGAGAUUGGUGGCAGAGUGUCCUCCGGGUCUUCACCGUCCAAGAGAAGCCAGGAAAAGGAGAAUUUUGGGUUCAAAAGUCACUCUCUUUGGUUUUGGCCUUUGAUUUACGCUUAUCUACAAAGAAACCCCUCUCAUUUCGAAGAAAUGAUUUACCUCCCCCUACUUUUGACAAUUAAUUUCUCUUCCCCUCAACUUGUAUUCAUCUUGAGUGUAUUUUUUCUCACAUCCUAAAAGUGAGGUGAUGCUCACUCUCUUUGUUUGUUAUCGUUAAAUUAAUUUGUUUUAAUCGAUCUAAUAUAUGAAUAUUAAAAUUUAAACUAAUUUAACGAUAAUCAGUAGGGGUGAUGCUUACCCCUUACUUUAGGAGGUGGGCAAAAGUAUUCCCUCCAUUUUUUUUUCUAAAUCUGGCUAAAGAUUUAACAUUAACCUUCUGCGUUUCACAUCUUAAGUUUGAUUAUUCUACUCUCAAUAUUGUUUGUAUAAACAAAGUACAAUGUUCAACUUUUAUGUUUGCAAAUUGUGAAUCAUAAAAGAAAGAUUAUGGACUUGUAUGUAUGAAUCUAGGUCUUAAAAUUGAAGUAAUUCUUUAAUGAAGAUCCUAAUAUUGUUUUGUCGACAAAUCAAUUCAUACUUAUAUUAUAAUGCAUGUAUUUUUCUUUAAUUUUUUUUAUACACCUUAUAAAUUUUUGGUUUACUCAUAUCAUAACAUGUAAAUUAGUAAUAUCAUAUAACAAAUUUUCAUUACGAAGAAUAUUAAUGCAUGAGACCCUAGUUUAAACAGUUAUAAAUAAGGAAAAAACUUAACCGCAUGGUUGGUCAAAAUACUUUUAAAACCAUGAGACUCAUUAUAUUUUAAUUUUGCACCAGUUUUAUAUUUCUCUAGUACGAUAUGUGAGUUGUCAUAAUCAUGCAAUCAUUUUCAGUGAUAGACUUUAUUAUCACGAGCAAAGGAGUUGUAAAUGAACCAAAAGAGGGUCUGAGAGUGUGAGUUAUUGGGUGGGACAACUCUCAGAGAAAAUGCAGUGCAUCUUCUUCAACCAUCUAUCAUGACUUGUUUCUAUCGUUUGUAACUAAUUGUCGAGUGAGAAAAAGUUUAAAGAUAGCUCAAACUAAUUAGCUACAAAACCAAAUUUGAACAUGUCACAAAAUAUAAUUUGUCUUCUCAAAAUUCAACUCUAUUUAUAAUUAUUUAAUUAACUACUGUUUUAGUCAAGUCGUUGGAAAAUCUUCAAGAUUAAAUGUCCACACCGACAGCUUUCUCUAUUAUUUUUUAUGAUUCAAACUUGUGAAUGGUUAGACCGACCAAGCAAGCAGUCGGAGGCAUGGAGUGUUUGUGGUUUUGUUCUUCACAUAACAUAUAUACAACUAGGGCUGGAAAAAAAUCCCAAAAAUCCCAAACCAAACCGAAAAAUUCCCGAAACCAAACCGAAAAAAUCCCAAACCGAAAUUCCCGAAAAUUUCGGUACCCAAUACCGAACCGAUCCCGAAAUUUCGGUACGGGAAUCGGUCUCAAGUUUUUGGGAUUUUGGUAUUCCCAAACCGAACCGAAAAAUAUAUAUAUAUAUAUUAUUUAAUUUUUAAAUAUAUAUUUAGAUCAACAGAGUCCAUAGAAAAUGAAGGCUUCAAUAGUUGCACAUAUUUCUAUAUGAAUGAUUUAAAUCGACAGAGUCUUGCAAUUGUAGCAUCUACAUUUGAAUCCAGAUUGGCAGUCUUGCAAUUGUAGCAUCUACAUUUAAAUUAACAUAGUCUUGCAAUUGGCACAUAUUGCAAUGGGUUUCUUAGCAUAUUGCAGCCCAAAAGUGUUAAAAUGUUCAAUUUUAGCCCAAAAACAUAAUAUUUAGUCCAAAAGCCCAAAAGCCCAAAAUCAUUUCGGGAUUCCCGAUUUGUCCCGAAAUCCCGAAACUAUUUCGGGAUUCCCGAAAAUUGGGAUUCCCGAAAAUUUGGUUUGGGAUCGGUAUUGAAAUUGGGAUUCCCGAAAUUUUUGGUUUGGGAAUCGGGACAAGGGUUUCGGUAUGGGAUCCCAUACCGAACCACCCCUAUAUACAACAACAACAACAACAAAGUCUUUUCCCACUAAGUGGGGUCGGCUAUAUGAAUCCUAGAACGCCAUUGCACUCGGUUUUGUGUCAUGUCCUCCGUUAGAUCCAAGUACUCAGUCUUUUCUUAGGGUCUCUUCCAAAGUUUUCUUAGGUCUUCCUCUACCCCUUCGGCCCUGAACCUCUAUCCCGUAGUCACAUCUUCGAACUGAAGCGUCAGUAGGCCUUCUUUGCACAUGUCCAAACCCCUUUUGUGUACGUGUUGGUGCUUCACCGCCCAACAUUCUGUGCCAUACAGCAUCGCCGGCCUUAUUGCCGUCCUAUAAAAUUUUCCCUUGAGCUUUAGUGGCCUACGACGGUCACCCAACACGCCGGAUGCACUCUUCCACUUCAUCCAUCCAACUUGUAUUCUAUGGUUGAGAUCUCCAUCUAAUUCUCCGCUCUUUUGCAAGAUAUAGAUCCUAGGUAGCGAAAACGGUCGCUCUUUGGUAUUUCCUGAUCUCCGAUCCUCACCCCUAACUCAUUUUGGCCUCCAUUUGCACUGAACUUGCACUCCAUAUAUUCUGUCUUUAAUCGGCUUAGGCAAAGACCUUUAGAUUCCAACACUUCUCUCCAAAGGCUAAGCUUCGCAUUUACCCCUCCUGAGUUUCAUCUAUCAACACUAUAUCGUUUGCGAAAAGCAUACACCAAGGAAUAUCAUCUUGAACAUGGAUCAUCAAUCAUAAAAUUUGUCACCUUUUGUUCCGUCCCAUCAUCAGGGUUUUUUUUUAAUUUUUAAUUUUAUUUUUUUAUAUUAUAAGUUUGAACAAUUAAACUGAAGACUCACAAAUGUCCCGAUUAAAAAAUGUGACUAUGAGACGGAGGUCCAGGACAAAAAAGAUAAAAGAAGACCUAGGAACACUUGGUUAGAAACUUUAAGAAAAUAUAUAGUAUUUGGAGCUAACGAAAGAUAUGACGCAAAUUCAAACGCUGUGGAGUUCUAGUAUUUGUACGGCCGAUCGCAUUUAAUGGGAUAAGUUUUUUGUUUUAUAUUAUAGGUUAUAUGUCAUUUGUCAGUUAAGAUAUUGAUGCAGUGAAGCAACUAUACCUAAUAAUUGCUAAAGAACUUAGAUUUAUGUCUAAUUUUAUCAAAUUGUUUUCUUGCAUUAGUUUAUUUGUUUACCAAUUUUAUUAUAAUUUAAACGAUAUUUGUCUCAAAGCAUUUUUACUGAUAACGGGCUAUAUUCCAUUGACUCAGCUUGAGCCUUGAUCUGCAAUCAAUAGAAUAUUAAUAAUCUUAAAUCAGGCAAUUAAUUAGUUAAUCAUCAUUUGAUCUCUUUUACGGAUACAAAAGAGACUAAUUAAUCAACAAAAACCUGCUGCCUGCAAUAUAAAACUUGCAUAAUAUAUGAUCCAAGAUUACAUAUGCAUGUAUGACUAAUUACGCGAUAAAUUAAACUAAUAGAAGAUUACUGCAGAAAACAGAAUUUCAUAUACAUACACCGUUUUCAUGGAAGCAUACUGCAGCAUCCAAAAAUGAAUACGGAUAAAGUAACCAAAUAAAGAAGAUAUCAAUGAAAGACGUGCAAAUUAAGCAACCAAUUAGAGAAAGAAAGCCGCCCAAUCAAUCUCAGGAGUGUAUCCAUCAGUGAUGUACACUAGCUUAAAAAUAUAGAUAAAAGGAAGAAGCAGCGUCGUGAGUGGAGGCCGGCCGAGAAGCUUGACGAAGAUUAUUCACGAGACCACGAAAACUGGUACUGUGCCGCCUUGGCGGUACGAGCUGCUCCGUCAUCCUCGCAAGCGCUGCUGUGUACAACCCUAGCAGCUCUGCAACAAUGCCUACCCUUAUCAUCCCUUCUUUUAUGAUUAAUUUUCUCACCCCCACAAAUUGUAGAGCCUCCGUUCAAGAGAGCGAGAGCGGCUACUGAGGGAGAGGUAGAGAGAGGUGUUGAUUGGUAGGUAGCUAUAUAGUUAGCAAUUACCGCGCCUUCAAAGCUUUGUUUCAAAGUCGUAGAUGGUUGGUGACUUUACAUAUACCUUUUAGUUGUUGUAACGUGUGGGUUUAUUUAGCCAAAUUUGAUUUUAAAGGUAAUGGAUAUCAGGUGAGGUGACGGCAAAAAGUGCAUAUAAAUCCAUGUAGAUUAUGCAUACAGAUUAUAUUUUAUCUCUGGUUGGAUUUUUUCAACUUUCUAGUAUCUUCUAUUUAUUUUCCGAUCGAGUUAGGCGUAAUGAGGAUUGUGGACGAAAAUUACCAUAUGGAGAGACUUCUUCACCCAGAUUACGUACACGGUAAUCACAUUUCUGGUCAGCUUAGGCGUAAAUUGUAAUGAUUAAAGUGGUAUUAAUCACGUUUUGUUUGCCUGGUUAUAAGACUUGUGUUUGUACUCACCUCACCACUUUUUGUUGGCUGAUGUGGCAAGAACCCAGUGGAGGGUUUUGGAUGGAUGUGCGUGAAGUGGCUUAAAAGUUAGAAAAGUUUUGCGUACUAACCAUAUUGUUAUGCUUGAGAAUUCGCAUCAAAUCAACAGGGGAAAAUGAGGAAAAUGCCAUGUGGUUCUGCUUUAUGUUGCUUCCCCACAAGUAUCUAUCUAACUUAACAUAUGUGAUUUUCGUGCAUUUGUACAUGCAUGCAUAUUUCAUUUUAUUUAGGUAGUAUUACAAUUCUGAAUUGCAGUAAAUUGGUAACUAUAUGGGCACAUGAUCAUCAUGCUGACCCUACCAAAGAGUUAACAAGGAAUAAACUUGUCAAAUCCUGCCAAAUAAUUUUGAAUAUAAAGAGAAAGAGGGGAUAGAUAAGACCAGUACCCAAUUUCUUUUGACUACCAAAGUGAGAGGAUAUUGAUCAAUGGAGGAAGUCUGGUUUACAAACCACUACGGUGAGAUUUUUACAUAUCGAUUUGACUCGGUCUUCUUAUUUUGGGUGUGUUAUCACGAGUAUAUACUUAUUUUAACUCUCUCUCAAGUAGAGGGAUAGCUAAGUUUUAGCAGUAAUUAAACAAUACCUGCUUCUAUUGGUAUUUGGCAGAUGAUUAAAUUCCACAUAACUAAAGUACAUAGUAGUUAUCUAAUCCAAAUUACAACAAGAGGAAGGCAGCAAGCAUUAUCUUCCUUUACAUUUUCUUAUCGAUCGUUGUAUAUAAUCAAUUAACGUUGAGCUUCAGCCUUGAGGGUAAUGAAUAGGACCUAUUGAAGACUUUCUUCCAUGGAGUCCAUGCUUUCCAGCUCAAAGAUCGAACCCUAAUCAGAGCCAAAGAAGGCUUUGUGUAUUUACCACUUGAAGUCUUAUGAAUAGGAGAAGGAGGAGAGGAAGGUGGUGGUGUUG